This 508-nucleotide ribosomal RNA is filed under the name uncultured bacterium. RNAcentral describes it as "partial 16S ribosomal RNA". It matches the Rfam family "Bacterial small subunit ribosomal RNA", at positions 28 to 523 of the family's 1533-position model. The record is from RNAcentral.
GAUGAACGCUAGCUACAGGCUUAACACAUGCAAGUCGAGGGGAAACGACAUCGAAAGCUUGCUUUUGAUGGGCGUCGACCGGCGCACGGGUGAGUAACGCGUAUCCAACCUGCCCACCACUUGGGGAUAACUUUGCGGAAGUAAGACUAAUACCCAAUGACGUCUCUAGAAGACAUCUGAAAGAGAUUAAAGAUUUAUCGGUGAUGGAUGGGGAUGCGUCUGAUUAGCUUGUUGGCGGGGUAACGGCCCACCAAGGCGACGAUCAGUAGGGGUUCUGAGAGGAAGGUCCCCCACAUUGGAACUGAGACACGGUCCAAACUCCUACGGGAGGCAGCAGUGAGGAAUAUUGGUCAAUGGACGAGAGUCUGAACCAGCCAAGUAGCGUGCAGGAUGACGGCCCUACGGGUUGUAAACUGCUUUUAUAAGGGAAUAAAGUGAGAGUCGUGACUCUUUUUGCAUGUACCUUAUGAAUAAGGACCGGCUAAUUCCGUGUCAGCAGCCGCAGUAA